This 519-nucleotide ribosomal RNA is filed under the name uncultured bacterium. RNAcentral describes it as "partial 16S ribosomal RNA". It matches the Rfam family "Bacterial small subunit ribosomal RNA", at positions 355 to 868 of the family's 1533-position model. The record is from RNAcentral.
UGGGGAAUUUUGGACAAUGGGCGAAAGCCUGAUCCAGCAAUGCCGCGUGUGUGAAGAAGGCCUUCGGGUUGUAAAGCACUUUUGUCCGGAAAGAAAUCCUUGGCUCUAAUACAGUCGGGGGAUGACGGUACCGGAAGAAUAAGCACCGGCUAACUACGUGCCAGCAGCCGCGGUAAUACGUAGGGUGCAAGCGUUAAUCGGAAUUACUGGGCGUAAAGCGUGCGCAGGCGGUUUGCUAAGACCGAUGUGAAAUCCCCGGGCUCAACCUGGGAACUGCAUUGGUGACUGGCAGGCUAGAGUAUGGCAGAGGGGGGUAGAAUUCCACGUGUAGCAGUGAAAUGCGUAGAGAUGUGAGGAAUACCGAUGGCGAAGGCAGCCUCCUGGGCCAAUACUGACGCUCAUGCACGAAAGCGUGGGGAGCAAACAGGAUUAGAUACCCUGGUAGUCCACGCCCUAAACGAUGUCAACUAGUUGUUGGGGAUUCAUUUCCUUAGUAACGUAGCUAACGCGUGAAGUUGA